UGGGGAUAGAACAUUGCAAUUAUUGUUCUUCAACGAGGAAUGCCUAGUAAGCGCGAGUCAUCAUCUCGCGUUGAUUACGUCCCUGCCCUUUGUACACACCGCCCGUCGCUCCUACCGAUUGAACGUGCUGGUGAAGCGUUAGGACUGGAACUUUGGGCCGGUUUCCCUGCCCAUCGUUUCGGGAAUUUCGUUGAACCCUCCCGUUUAGAGGAAGGAGAAGUCGUAACAAGGUCUCCGUAGGUGAACCUGCGGAGGGAUCAUUGAAACCGAUCAAACCAAUCACAGAGCACUUGCGGGCGCUCACCUCCUCCCGUCCGCGGGGGUGGGGUGGGGCGGCCCGCCGUUUAUUGGGACCGCCGGUGCAGGAGCCUUCCCCCCUCGCGGGGGGCUGGCCCCGGCCGAUCCGGACCCCUUAACCCAUUGAACCCUCUGCCCUGAAGCAGCUUCGUAUGGGGACACCCCUGCGAUAGUAACUGAGACAACUCUCAACAACGGAUAUCUUGGCUCUCGCAACGAUGAAGAACGCAGCGAAAUGCGAUACGUAGUGUGAAUUGCAGAAUUCCGUGAGUCAUCGAAUCUUUGAACGCACAUUGCCGGUCGACUCUUCGGAGGAGACCACAUCUGCCUCAGCGUCGGAAUACCCCCUCACGCACUCCCGCGUGGACCUGGCCCCCUCGGACCACACCGGUCCGGGCUGGCUGAAAUACAGAGGCUCGUGCGCGGCCCAUUCGUGGCCCCGACUAGGUAGGUAGCUCGCUACUUCUAGGCGGAGGCUCGGCGUCGCGUGCUCUGGGCCCGAAAGGAUACCCAUCCAUUCAUUCGACCUGAGUUCAGGUGAGGCUA
Molecule: ribosomal RNA, 843 nt
Filed under: Ulva tanneri
Lineage: Eukaryota; Viridiplantae; Chlorophyta; Ulvophyceae; Ulvales; Ulvaceae
Description: eukaryotic LSU rRNA
Rfam family: Eukaryotic small subunit ribosomal RNA (bases 1-263)
Source: RNAcentral